This 468-nucleotide ribosomal RNA is filed under the name uncultured bacterium. RNAcentral describes it as "partial 16S ribosomal RNA". It matches the Rfam family "Bacterial small subunit ribosomal RNA", at positions 28 to 507 of the family's 1533-position model. The record is from RNAcentral.
GACGAACGCUGGCGGCGUGCUUAACACAUGCAAGUCGAACGGAAAGGCCCUGCUUUUGUGGGGUGCUCGAGUGGCGAACGGGUGAGUAACACGUGAGUAACCUGCCCUUGACUUUGGGAUAACUUCAGGAAACUGGGGCUAAUACCGGAUAGGAGCUCCUGCUGCAUGGUGGGGGCUGGAAAGUUUCGGCGGUUGGGGAUGGACUCGCGGCUUAUCAGCUUGUUGGUGGGGUAGUGGCUUACCAAGGCUUUGACGGGUAGCCGCCCUGGGAGGGUGACCGGCCACAUUGGGCCUGAGAUACGGCCCAGACUCCUACGGGAGGCAGCAGUGGGGGAUGUUGCACGAUGGGCGGAAGCCUGAUGCAGCAACGCCGCGUGCGGGAUGACGGCCUUCGGGUUGUAACCCGCUUUCGCCUGUGACGAAGCGUGAGUGACGGUAAUGGGUAAAAAAGCACCGGCUAACUACGUG